CACGAGGUUAGCCGAUGCUUAUUCCUGCUGUACAAUCAGAUUCGGUACGAAACCAAAUUUUUUUUCUAGCAGAAAAGAAGUUUACAACGCGUAGCGCCUUCAUCCUUCACGCGGCAUGGCUGGAUCAGCCUUGAGGCCAUCGUCCAAUAUUCCUUA
RNAcentral lists this ribosomal RNA (156 nucleotides) under uncultured Bacteroidota bacterium. RNAcentral describes it as "uncultured Bacteroidetes bacterium partial 16S ribosomal RNA". The record is from RNAcentral. Lineage: Bacteria; Pseudomonadati; Bacteroidota.